Non-coding RNA from Caenorhabditis elegans, 21 nucleotides. Lineage: Eukaryota; Metazoa; Nematoda; Chromadorea; Rhabditida; Rhabditidae. The record is from Ensembl.
UUAGUGUUGAAGGUACACUUA